RNAcentral lists this long non-coding RNA (278 nucleotides) under Elaeis guineensis (African oil palm). Its description in RNAcentral is "long non-coding RNA (EGUI_LNC013201)". Lineage: Eukaryota; Viridiplantae; Streptophyta; Magnoliopsida; Arecales; Arecaceae. The record is from RNAcentral.
GGGGUGCUGCUGGGGACUGAUCACCUUUGCAGGAUCUAUUAUUGGAGUUCAAUCUCCCUUCAUAGGUCUCGACUGAGAAUGUAGCAGUAUCCUAAAUGAACUACAUCAUUUUUUGGUCCAAAAAAGGAGUGAGCGACAACUAAGGGGGUCUUCUCAGCAUGGAGCCCUCUAAGAAGGUUUUGAACCUUUCAAGGGGUCUAUCAUUCCCCUCUAAGCAGGCUUUCUAGACCUCACGAAGAGGAAUAUCAGAGAUAUGGAUGGUUCCCAAGGGCAAGCCC